This 318-nucleotide long non-coding RNA is filed under the name Bos taurus (domestic cattle). Its description in RNAcentral is "long non-coding RNA NONBTAT011742". Lineage: Eukaryota; Metazoa; Chordata; Mammalia; Artiodactyla; Bovidae. The record is from RNAcentral.
CAGCUUUCUUGAAAUUAAUGAGUGACAUCCCUAAAUGCGGACAGCCUUCCCAGAGAGAGCCAUUCUUUACUGAUUCCUGGGAAUGCAUAAGGUUAAUGAAAGUGUUUUCUUAGCACUGCGACACCAUUCAACUUCUGACCAAGAACUCUUUGUGACAUGUUACGGGAAAACUCCCUCCUGUUUGGCUUCUGUAGCUGGAAUUUGAAUCACACCGUGUGACUGUUCUAUGACAGCCUGGAGAAAUUCUUUCUAUUACAUUGGGAGGUCAAAGCAGUCUUCCCAUCCCCUCUCCAAUUGUUUGUGUUUUAGCAUUAUCCC